RNAcentral lists this long non-coding RNA (494 nucleotides) under Capsella rubella. Its description in RNAcentral is "long non-coding RNA (CRUB_LNC000344)". Lineage: Eukaryota; Viridiplantae; Streptophyta; Magnoliopsida; Brassicales; Brassicaceae. The record is from RNAcentral.
UUUUAGGUUCUUAUCCUAUUUGGGACCUGAUUUGACCAAGUCUUUCUUCAUACUUCUAAACAUUCUUCAUGCAUCUCUAACAAUUAUAAUCAAUAAAAUUAAUUGUAUUAUAACAUAUUCUAACCCUAAACAACUUUAGACAAGCCAUUUCCUGCUUCAAAGCAAUGGUUGUGGGUUGUUAUCCCAUUUGGGACCAGAUUUGACCAAGUAUUUCUUCACACUUCUAAACAUUCUUUAUGUAUCUCUAGAACUUGUAAUAAUUAAAAUUCAUUGUAUUAUAACAUAUACUAACCCUAAAAAACUUUAGACAAGCCAAAUAGUGCCUCAAAGCAAUGGUUUUGGGUUCUUAUCCCAUUUGGGACCUGAUUUGACCAUGUCUUUCUUCACACUUCGAAACAUUCUUCAUGCAUCUCUAACACUUGUAAUCAAUCAAAUUCAUUGUAUUAUAAAAUAUUCUAACCCUAAACAAAUUUAGACAAGCCAUUUAGUGCCUC